RNAcentral lists this ribosomal RNA (692 nucleotides) under uncultured Gammaproteobacteria bacterium. RNAcentral's name for it is "bacterial SSU rRNA". It matches the Rfam family "Bacterial small subunit ribosomal RNA", at positions 60 to 729 of the family's 1533-position model. The record is from RNAcentral. Lineage: Bacteria; Pseudomonadati; Pseudomonadota; Gammaproteobacteria.
AGUCGAGCGGUAACAGGCAUUUUGAUUCAGCUUGCUGAAUCUCGCGCUGACGAGCGGCGGACGGGUGAGUAACGCGUAGGAAUCUACCUAGUAGAAGGGGAUAGCCCGGGGAAACUCGGAUUAAUACCGUAUACGUCCUUAGGGAGAAAGAGGGCUUAGCUUUGAUGCUCUCGCUAUUAGAUGAGCCUGCGUAAGAUUAGCUUGUUGGUGAGGUAAAGGCUCACCAAGGCUACGAUCUUUAGCUGGUCUGAGAGGACGAUCAGCCACAUUGGGACUGAGACACGGCCCAGACUCCUACGGGAGGCAGCAGUGGGGAAUAUUGGACAAUGGGCGCAAGCCUGAUCCAGCCAUACCGCGUGUGUGAAGAAGGCCUUCGGGUUGUAAAGCACUUUAAGUAAGGAAGAAAAGUAUAUUGUUAAUACCAAUGUACCGUGACAUUACUUACAGAAUAAGGACCGGCUAAUUCCGUGCCAGCAGCCGCGGUAAUACGGAAGGUCCAAGCGUUAAUCGGAAUUACUGGGCGUAAAGCGCGCGUAGGUGGUUUAUUAAGUUGGGUGUGAAAGCCCCGGGCUCAACCUGGGAACUGCAUCCAAAACUGAUUCACUAGAGUACGAAAGAGGGAGGUAGAAUUCACAGUGUAGCGGUGGAAUGCGUAGAUAUUGUGAAGAAUACCAAUGGCGAAGGCAGCCUCC